UACCUGCUGGCAAUGGGCAAAGAGACACCUUGUUGGCAGUGUUGAUUCUUAUAUCAGUCAGGGGCAGAGCAGAUGGCAGUUAUAUGUUCAUCCUAACUUGAUGCCUGGCUUGGUAGCCAAAACCUUUUAUGCCUGGGACUCAUAA
This is a small nucleolar RNA of Rattus rattus (black rat), 145 nucleotides long. RefSeq annotates it as small nucleolar RNA SNORA48. NCBI's taxonomy places the organism in Eukaryota, Metazoa, Chordata, Mammalia, Rodentia, Muridae. The transcript has a single exon. The record is from RefSeq and is a predicted model, not a curated record.